GAGCUCUUCUCUUUUCUCUCUUCCCCCGCUAUGCAGUCAGGAAGGGCGCCCCUCCGAGUGCCGAUGCCACGGCCCCGGACAACCAGCGCGUAUCCCUUACAGCGCUCCACGGUGCUCUGUGCACAAAGUCUGAGCGUAUUUUCCCAUCUGAUAAUCACUACACGCACCAUUGUGCAGUCAAACAUGACAGGAGGCGUCCGAAGCCUCCUGGACCAGUUUGAGACCCGAACACUCAUCACACGGCUGAGGCGUAACCGCAACGGCAACUACUACCGUUUCCGUCAGAAGCUCUGGCUCUCGCAAGAGGCACUGGAGAAGGAGCUGACGGAGAUCACUUACAGCCCGGUGGAGCGGCAUCCGUUCGCGUUGCUGCCGCAGCGCGAGACCCCCCGUCAGGUGUUCGCCUGUGAAGGACGCGGCGGUACAAUGCUCCUUGAAGCGGUGCACGCAGAAGCACGAGGGGCGAGUGCCUCAGAAAGCAGUCCCACACCAGCAGCUGUGUCUUUGCUUCCGCACCAAAGUAAGCGAUGCGACGCUAAUGACUCACUUGACUUUAUGGCGAGUCUGCUUCGAGCAGAUCAAUCUGUGAGCAGCAAGAUCAUCACGGAGGCAGACGUGGAGGGCACCGUUCUCGAGUCUGCUCGCUUCCGCGCUCGGCAGAUUCUCGCAAGCGAUCUCACGUGCAACGCCGUCGCCGCCUCGCCCUCCACUUCCGUCUCGCUUCGCAAUCCCGCCGAGUCUACCGACGCGGCGGGAACAUCGUGGUCAGCACUCGGCCUGGACCCGCUCAUUAGCUCUGCUGCCGAGCAGCUUUACGGGCCAGUGCCGACGCGUCUGCAGGCCCGUCUGCUACCGGCCCUACUCAACGAGGAUCACAACGACGUGCUCUUCAAUGGCGUCACAGGGAGCGGCAAAACGUCGGCGCUCGUGCUGGGUCUCCUGCAGGGCAUCCGCAGCGAGGCCGCUGGCAUGAAUGUCCUUGUGGCGACAAACACAAUCAACGCCAUGCGACUGCACGACACAGUCAAGGCGCUCUGUAGGCGAGCGGGUGGCGGCGUCGUGGUCGACCGGCCUGCUGAGGACUACUCCUGGCUCUUCCUGGGCACUUACAGAGAGGACUAUGAGUCCUAUUACGAGCAUCUUCGGCGCGGGUUGCGGCGUGCGACCGGUCCAGCUCGGCUGUUCAUCACGACCGCCGACGUCAUGUGUCAGCUGUUGUUUGAGAAGAAAAUGGAGUUUGAGGACUUUGGCUACCUGCGACGCGUCUACGUGGACGAUAUUGGUGCACAGGUGCCCUUGCUGCCGGAGAGCGCCCCUGUAGCCGUGGUGCGGGAACGACUGCGCAACCCGCUGGCUGCGGAACUGCUGUUGGGGACGCUGCAUCAGCUGCCUGGCCCCCACGUUCGGUCGGUGCUACAGCUCGGUAUGGUAUCCGCUGACGUGGAUGGCAAACUAAAGGACCAUCUGCAGGCGCUGUGCAUGAAGCCCGUGGCCCAGACGACGGUACUGUCCACCGUCCGCAUCCCCUCCACCGUGCACUGCCUUUUCUCCUUCUACCUCGGCCAUAGGGAGGAUCGCUUCAGCUACCUUGUGCGCCUCCUGUGGAAUGCGCGGGAGACGAUUCCCGGCCGCGCUGUCCUCUUUGUUCCGGACGCUGAGGACGUUCUCAGGGCACGGCUGCGACUUCGCGGACUUGGUGCAGACGUCAAGAUCUUCUCGGAGGUACACGGAGGCGGCGAGUUCAAGGGUGACUGGAAGUUUCUGCUCUUGAAGGAGUCGGAGGCGUUCGGCGUCGACUUGCCCCUCGUCUCGCACGUCUUUAUCACCUUCGCGCCGACUUCGUGGCAGCGCUUCCUGCAUAUGUGCGGGCGCACCGGUCGCAUGGGCAACGUUGGCUGGGUCUACGUUGUGAGCGACAAGCAAGACGCGAAGAGCGUUCGCGAUGUUGCCGAGGCGCUUUCAGUAGACUUCUGCAAUCAUGUUAUCAGCGAUGAUCUUCAGCAGGCUCGCCCCGCGGACGUGGAGCGCUUCACGAAGCAGCCCGAGCUUUAUGGUCUUGAUCCUCAAUUUGCCGUGCGACAGCACUACACGGUGCAAGCCGAGAACCCAGAUAUGGCGUACCGCAAGCGGGAAUUUUUCUCCAAGCCAGCGAUUAAGCAAUUUCAGAUGGAGGACUACACCUCCAUCUCGAUCAAGCAGCGUCGCUUCGAUCACGCUAGGCAGCUGUCGCAGGAUGUGGAGCGGAACCCAUCCAUUGUGCUUAACAUGCAGAAGAGGGGGCUGCUAGAUGCUCACCUCAAGCCGACAAAAACGCUAAAGCGAUACAUGGACCUGAAGACGCAUAGGGAGGCACCCGACCCUUUCCAGAAAAAGCGAAAACGCCGUCAGUGACGAUGAGCGGUGACAGAGUCAAUAGCGAGUUGUUGGUAAGGCAUCUGACUUGCUUGUUGGUGCUGUGUAAUGCACGUCCUUCGGUAUGGCAGAGACUUUCCGCCGUGAUCGGCGUUGGGUCCUCGUCUGCUACCGAUCCAGUCAUUGGGAGGGCGUUUCAUAUCUUCACAUAAUCCGUGUAGCG
This 2575-nucleotide unclassified non-coding RNA is filed under the name Leishmania donovani. RNAcentral's name for it is "gene:LdHU3.34.2490(CDS-product:ATP_dependent_DEAD -box_helicase_putative)". The record is from RNAcentral. Lineage: Eukaryota; Euglenozoa; Kinetoplastea; Trypanosomatida; Trypanosomatidae.